CAGUUUGAUAUGGACAAUAAAGAAACUGCCACAAAAUCCAUGCCCCCUGAUGACCAGCCCCUUAUAAUUCCACCACCGUUGUGGGAACUGUACUAAAAAGAGUCAACGCAAGUUCCUCCUGUCAUCGGAAGCAGCACCAGCACCUGCCUGCCAUCACCUGCCCACUUUGAGACUCAAAUCUUAAAAUACAGACAGUGUGAUUUGGGAUCUUGCCGUUUUGCUCAUAUCACUUCCUGUUCCGGCACUUGGAGGAUGGGCUUCCCCUUGUGUUAUAUGGCUUCAGGUGCAUGUAAACAGUCUGCAAAGUCUUAAGACGCAAAGUACAUAGCAAAGGGAGUAACUCUCACCACAGAAACCACUCUUCUCUCAUCUGCCUAAAACACCUCAUUGGAAUUCCAGCCCUUACUUUCACAACAUGAUGAGGUCUCUUCAUAACACAGUCCUUAUUGGCUGUCUACCUGCAAGGAUCCAUCUGCCGACUGCAAGACGGGGAUGAAUGGUAAGCUGAACAAUCAAACCACACUGGACUCAUUGGGGGUGGGAUUAGACAGAGGGUGAAUAGAGAUGUGCAUUAAUGAGAAAUGAUAUGUGAUUUUGGAACACUGAAUCAUGCAAACUCUAUUCUAGUAGAGCCUAAAAAUACAAUUUUAAACUGAAAGUGAGCAUAAUAAUGCACCUUUAAGCAACAGUAGGUUGCUGUCC
This is a long non-coding RNA of Brienomyrus brachyistius, 702 nucleotides long. RefSeq lists it as uncharacterized. The transcript is spliced from 3 exons. Lineage: Eukaryota; Metazoa; Chordata; Actinopteri; Osteoglossiformes; Mormyridae. The record is from RefSeq and is a predicted model, not a curated record.